AAUCUUACUAAAUUUAAACUGCAAAUUUAAAUAAGAUAAUUAUCUAAGAUUU
Molecule: transfer RNA, 52 nt
Filed under: Hyalomma aegyptium
Lineage: Eukaryota; Metazoa; Arthropoda; Arachnida; Ixodida; Ixodidae
Description: tRNA-Cys
Source: RNAcentral